AAAUCUUUCCCUGUUUUAAUUCCACUAUGCCUCAAGGUUUUCUCUUUUCAACAAUUCGGCUGAACUGCCUUCUUCCCUGUGAAUUCCUUUCGCUUCAAUUGCUUCAGGUGCGUUCUUUCUUCAUCUGCUUCAAUUUUGAUCUAGUUUAAUUGCGUUUAAGUAUUAUUCUUCUUCUCAAUUUAUGGCUCCUACACUGACUUUUGAGAUCAGGGAUUACGUAUUUUUCGUUGCCCCAAUGUUUCAGUUUAAUGGUUUUUUAUUCAAUUAUUUUCAGGCUUGAAGGAUGACAUGGGUUUUUCUGAAGGGAAGUAUCCUUUUGGGAAAAUUAACUUUAGAAUGCCGCUACUCGUAUUAAGGUGGUUUCUUCCUUUUCUCUUAACUCAAUUUGUUUUCUUUAUCUCAAUAGCCAUGGAAUUUGUGAUUUUCAGUUGUAGUUUAGUUAUUGCUUGAACCAGUAAUAAAACCUUUAUGGACAAUCUGCCUUGGAAUAGUCCUUCUUGAAGAAUAUGAUUGAGUAAAUCUUGUUAAAUAUAUAUGCUUCAAAAUAUAUGAAUACUUUAAACAAACGGUACCUCCGCUAUUAGAUUUUUUUACUUUUGGUUACAGAUUACCCAGUGUUUCUGUAAAGAGUUUUUCACUUAACGUAAAGCUUUUUCAAAUUCCAACCAUAAUUUAAUUAUGUUGUGUGAUGCUAAAAUUGCUUGAAGAGACCCAUAUAUUAAUAAUUGUGCGAGAGCACAUCAGGAUUCUUCAGACAGGGUAUUUUUUAAUGUUAUCUCUAACAUCUACAUUGGGAAAUCUCAAGAAACUACAUGGUCUUUAGUAUCUCUUUUAUUUGCUAAGGUCUUACAAUGAACUUUAAUCUUGGAGAUUUUUGGGUAGGUUAAUUAUUAGUAUACCACUGAUGCUUAAUUUAUUUUGAAAAAGACAGUGAAUUAUAAUUUUCUAUAUGGUUACUAGAGAUAGAGAGCGAAGAAUCUGAGCCUUACAUUGAAGCAUCUCAAGCACAAAAGGUGUAUUAUGUAAAUGAUGUGUUGUGCAUCCAUAGCCAAAAGAUUUAAUUUGUAUGAUAUGUGAGAAGAGAUGGAAGAAGAAAUAUACUAGAAUGAGACAUAUCAAGAGCAAGAACUUGAACACUUUUUGGCCAUGUGACGAGUAUAUACAACUAGUUACAUACCAUCUAAUUGAUGAUGUAGUAAAGGGAAAUGUUAUUUCUGACUUUAUUAAAUAUGUGCCCUAUCUGAAGGUAAUAAUAAUUAAGUAGUUCUUAUUUAUUUUUUUUGGUUUAUAGGUAUGCUUAGAAUGGUAUUCAUAUUUGGUUUAAAAGUAUGUUUAGAAAUGGUAUUCAUAUAUGAUUCACCUCUUUUUAAAUUUAUGGUGUCCAUGUGUUUCCUUUAAGAGGAUCUCUUACUAUGAAGUAGUUCAAGAGACAAAAAGAUUUGUUGAAGCUAACUUGAUUGGAUGUUAAAUUUAUGCAGAUUUGGUUUAAAGGAUUGAUGUGCUUGCAUGAUGACACUGAGGGGUAAGUUAUGUUUCUUAACUCAUCUCCUAAAUUUUCAAUUCUUUUACUUCUUUUCCUAGAUUAUAUCAAGUAACCAAAUUUGUAUCAUAUUUGUAGUUGUUAGUUCCUCUAGAAUUGAGAUAUUGAGGUAACCUAGUAGUAUAUAUUUUUAAUUUAUUCCAGAAUUAUUUUGCACUUUUUGUUGCUUUUGUUUGAAGUUAGCUCCAAAAAAUUUUGACUUUGGUGUGGUUUGGUUUAGCUUGAUAAAUUAAUUAUUGAUUUAUUUCACAGUUCCAGCAUAGUGAUAUGCAGAGUGAGUCUGCUUCACUCAUGAGCGGAAGAGUAUCACGAGGUGACAACAAUACAGAUCACCAAACAAAUACAUGUCACUUUUGUAUAUUUAUUUAUUGUUGACCUUCUCUAGAUUGUAAAAUGUUUAAGCUAUCAUAUAUCGUAUGUGUUGUAUAACCUUAGUUUGAUAUGAACUUGAAUUUGUGAUGUUGGUUUGUUUAGAUACUUUUAAUGGAAUUAGAUUUGCGGUG
Molecule: long non-coding RNA, 2043 nt
Filed under: Nicotiana tabacum (common tobacco)
Lineage: Eukaryota; Viridiplantae; Streptophyta; Magnoliopsida; Solanales; Solanaceae
Description: long non-coding RNA (NTAB_LNC013047)
Source: RNAcentral